GUGCUGAAGUGAGCAACGAAAGAAUGUUCUAGCUAUCCGAAAGAAUAUAUGCUUCCCGACUGAAGUCCGGAGUACCAAGCACGAGCAGCUUUUCGAAGAGUUGCCGGAAAGCCGAUGCAUAAGAGGACGUCAGUCGCCUCCUGAAUCGUCAUGAGAGCUUUGUAGCUCUCAAGGUGAUCAACAGGAUCGGUGAAACCAUUAUAGGAUUCUACGUGCGGCAUCUUGAACCGAGUUAGGAUCAGUUCGUCCAAGACAUGUCGAGAGAGAGGUUGGGCAGUACGAAAAUCAAAAUCGUUUGAAGAUUUAUGACCGUCCACCUGUAGUUGGGUAAGUCGACGGUCGAUUUCUUUGAACUUACGUUCGUAGUCUUCGAGCCGAUGAGAGAGCCGAGAUGACCGCUUUGGAGGAA
Molecule: long non-coding RNA, 409 nt
Filed under: Elaeis guineensis (African oil palm)
Lineage: Eukaryota; Viridiplantae; Streptophyta; Magnoliopsida; Arecales; Arecaceae
Description: long non-coding RNA (EGUI_LNC026164)
Source: RNAcentral